Molecule: ribosomal RNA, 494 nt
Filed under: uncultured bacterium
Lineage: Bacteria
Description: partial 16S ribosomal RNA
Rfam family: Bacterial small subunit ribosomal RNA
Source: RNAcentral
AUUGAACGCUGGCGGCAUGCUUUACACAUGCAAGUCGAACGGCAGCGGGGAGGAGCUUGCUUCUCUGCCGGCGAGUGGCGAACGGGUGAGUAAUACAUCGGAACGUGUCGAGAAGAGGGGGAUAACCACCCGAAAGGGUGGCUAAUACCGCAUAAAUUCUGAGGAAGAAAGCUGGGGACCUAGGAAUAGGCCUAGCGCUUUUUGAGCGGCCGAUGUCGGAUUAGCUAGUUGGUGAGGUAAAGGCUCACCAAGGCGAGGAUCUGUAGCGGGUCUGAGAGGAUGAUCCGCCACACUGGGACUGAGACACGGCCCAGACUCCUACGGGAGGCAGCAGUGGGGAAUUUUGGACAAUGGGGGCAACCCUGAUCCAGCCAUGCCGCGUGUAUGAAGAAGGCCUUAGGGUUGUAAAGUACUUUUGUUAGGGAAGAAAAGUCAGCUGUGAAUAAUGGCUGAUACUGACGGUACCUAAAGAAUAAGCACCGGCUAACUACGUG